This 74-nucleotide transfer RNA is filed under the name Navicula tsukamotoi. RNAcentral describes it as "Haslea tsukamotoi tRNA-Phe". It matches the Rfam family "tRNA". Rfam says of the family: Transfer RNA (tRNA) molecules are approximately 80 nucleotides in length. Their secondary structure includes four short double-helical elements and three loops (D, anti-codon, and T loops). Lineage: Eukaryota; Bacillariophyta; Bacillariophyceae; Naviculales; Naviculaceae. The record is from RNAcentral.
GUCUAGAUAGCUCAGUUGGUUAGAGCAGAGGACUGAAAAUCCUUGAGCCGGCAGUUCAAAUCUGUCUCUGGACA